GAUAGCUAUCCGGGUUAUGGCUUAUGGAUCGAUAUUACGAUCAUCCAACUUUAUAUUCAUUAGUAAAAUGUGUUCAUUUUCGUCGUCCUCCAGUUCUCGUGAUAGGGAUUUGGAAGUUUUAAUGCAAUUACCCGAUUGGGAUAGUGAAGUUGUUGGUGAUAUAUCAUCUACAAUUGAUAAGCUAGCUUACGAGUAUGUUUUUAUACACCAACAGAGUACAGAAAAAUUACAUGAAAUUGCUGGAUUUCCUCGAAUUGUUGCCAUUGAUUGCACUCAUUUACGAAUUCAAUCAUCAUGUGACGUAAUUGGUGAAUAAUAUCCUAAUUGAAUAGGAUAUUUCUCUUUAAAUGUACAGGCUGUGUGUGAUGCAGAAAUAAAAUUUAUUAAUGUUGUGCCCCAUGGCCUGAUGCCGCUCAUGAUGCAACAACUUUUGUAAACUCAGUUCUACAAGUUAAAUUGAUUGAUAAGAAGCUAGAACUUGAUAAAUGUGCCAACUAAAUUAACAGGUAUAUUUGUUUAUAGCUUAAUAUCAUACAGGUCUACUGAGAAAUCACUGGAUGGUUGUUAAUAGUGCUUACUCAAAUAUACCAUAUUUAUUAACACCAUUUCUCUGGCUGACCAGAGAUAUGAUGAAGUACACAUUAAGAAUAGGAAUACUAUAGAGAGAAUAUUCGGAGAAUGGAAAUGUCGCUUUAACAUUGUAUUAACCACUAGCUAAAGUUCAAGCUAUUAUUAUUGCCACAGCUGUUAUGCAAAAUAUUUGUAAGGGUUAUAAUUUGAAGAUAUACCGGCAGAAGUUUUAGUUCCAACACUUGAUACAAUUUCAAGUCAAGAAGUUAAUGAAGGAAAUCAAGACAUAACUGAAAGAACAAGCCUUAUUCAUUAUUAUUUUUGGAAAAUUAAUAUAAUUCUAGCAGAAACAAACAUGUUGUAUUUAAAUGUCCUUUUGUACAUAUGAAAUAAGAGAAGAAAUUCAGUUAAAAUUUUAAUAAGUUAUGUAGUUAAUCUACCUAUA
Pieris brassicae (large cabbage white) is the source of this 1015-nucleotide long non-coding RNA. RefSeq lists it as uncharacterized. The record is from RefSeq and is a predicted model, not a curated record. NCBI's taxonomy places the organism in Eukaryota, Metazoa, Arthropoda, Insecta, Lepidoptera, Pieridae. The transcript has 3 exons.